This 636-nucleotide ribosomal RNA is filed under the name Cylomissus glabratus. RNAcentral describes it as "partial 16S ribosomal RNA". The stretch from base 261 to 419 matches the Rfam family "Bacterial large subunit ribosomal RNA", at positions 2473 to 2632 of the family's 2925-position model. The record is from RNAcentral. Lineage: Eukaryota; Metazoa; Arthropoda; Insecta; Coleoptera; Hydrophilidae.
GAGAAAAAAGCUGUCUUUAUUUAAUUUUUUGUAGAAUUUUAUUUUUAAGUUAAAAAGCUUAAAUAUUAUUGAAAGACGAGAAGACCCUAUAGAGUUUUAUAAUGUAAUAAUUUAUAAAUUUUAAUUAUUUAAGUUUUAUUUAAUUGUUCAAUUAUUUAGUUGGGGUGACUAUAAAAUUUAAUUAACUUUUUAAUUUAUAAACAUAAAUUUAUGAAUAGUUGAUCCAUUAAGUUGUGAUUAAAAGAUUAAAUUACCUUAGGGAUAACAGCGUAAUUUUUUUGGAGAGUUCUAAUUGAUAAAAAAGUUUGCGACCUCGAUGUUGGAUUAAAAUUAACUAUUGGCGCAGAAGUUGAUGGGUUAGGUCUGUUCGACCUUUAAAAUUUUACAUGAUCUGAGUUUAAACCGGUGUGAGCCAGGUUGGUUUCUAUCUUUAAUUAGUUAAUAUAUUUUAGUACGAAAGGACCAAAUAUAUGUAUAAAAUAAUUUUAUAAUUGAAUUAAAUUAAUAGUUGUUACUUUGGCAGAUUAGUGCAUUAAAUUUAGAAUUUAAUUAUGUAUGUUAAAUACAUGUAAUACUUGUUAUUUAUGGAUUAUUUAUUAAUAAUUGUUAGAAGUUUAAUUUUGGUUAUUUGUGUAC